This 520-nucleotide unclassified non-coding RNA is filed under the name uncultured Glomus. RNAcentral describes it as "SSU rRNA". It matches the Rfam family "Eukaryotic small subunit ribosomal RNA", at positions 569 to 1088 of the family's 1831-position model. Lineage: Eukaryota; Fungi; Glomeromycota; Glomeromycetes; Glomerales; Glomeraceae. The record is from RNAcentral.
AGCAGCCGCGGUAAUUCCAGCUCCAAUAGCGUAUAUUAAAGUUGUUGCAGUUAAAAAGCUCGUAGUUGAAUUUCGGAAUCAGUAUGUUGGUCGUGCUUCGGUACGUACUGUCAUUACUGGUUUCUACCUUCUGAAGAACCUUGAUGUCAUUAAUUUGGUGUCUUGGGGGAAUCAGGACUGUUACUUUGAAAAAAUUAGAGUGUUUAAAGCAGGCAUACGCUUGAAUACAUUAGCAUGGAAUAAUGAAAUAGGACGUUUGAUUCUAUUUUGUUGGUUUCUAGGAUCGACGUAAUGAUUAAUAGGGGAUAGUUGGGGGGCAUUAGUAUUCAAUUGUCAGAGGUGAAAUUCUUGGAUUUAUUGAAGACUAACUACUGCGAAAGCAUUUGUCAAGGAUGUUUUCAUUAAUCAAGAACGAAAGUUAGGGGAUCGAAGACGAUCAGAUACCGUCGUAGUCUUAACCAUAAACUAUGCCGACUAGGGAUCGGAUGAUGUUAAUUUUUUAAUGACUCAUUCGGCGCCU